GCUCAACCGGGGAGGGUCAUUGGAAACUGGGGAACUUGAGUGCAGAAGAGGAGAGCGGAAUUCCACGUGUAGCGGUGAAAUGCGUAGAGAUGUGGAGGAACACCAGUGGCGAAGGCGACUCUCUGGUCUGUAACUGACGCUGAGGCGCGAAAGCGUGGGGAGCGAACAGGAUUAGGUACCCUGGUAGUCCACGCCGUAAACGAUGAGUGCUAAGUGUUAGAGGGUUUCCGCCCUUUAGUGCUGCAGCAAACGCAUUAAGCACUCCGCCUGGGGAGUACGUUCGCAAGACUGAAACUCAAAGGAAUUGACGGGGGCCCGCACAAGCGGUGGAGCAUGUGGUUUAAUUCGAAGCAACGCGAAGAACCUUACCAGGUCUUGACAUCCUCUGACAACCCUAGAGAUAGGGCUUCCCCUUCGGGGGCAGAGUGACAGGUGGUGCAUGGUUGUCGUCAGCUCGUGUCGUGAGAUGUUGGGUUAAGUCCAGCAACGAGCGCAACCCUUGAUCUUAGUUGCCAGCAUUCAGUUGGGCACUCUAAGGUGACUGCCGGUGACAAACCGGAGGAAGGUGGGGAUGACGUCAAAUCAUCAUGCCCCUUAUGACCUGGGCUACACACGUGCUACAAUGGGCAGAACAAAG
RNAcentral lists this ribosomal RNA (637 nucleotides) under uncultured bacterium. RNAcentral describes it as "bacterial SSU rRNA". It matches the Rfam family "Bacterial small subunit ribosomal RNA", at positions 607 to 1244 of the family's 1533-position model. The record is from RNAcentral.